This 72-nucleotide transfer RNA is filed under the name Camelus bactrianus (Bactrian camel). It matches the Rfam family "tRNA". From Rfam's summary of the family: Transfer RNA (tRNA) molecules are approximately 80 nucleotides in length. Their secondary structure includes four short double-helical elements and three loops (D, anti-codon, and T loops). The record is from Rfam by way of RNAcentral. RNAcentral also lists the same sequence under 3 other names. Lineage: Eukaryota; Metazoa; Chordata; Mammalia; Artiodactyla; Camelidae.
GAGGGUAUAGCUUAGUGGUAGAGCACAUGCUUAGCAUGCACGAGGUCUUGGGUUCAAUCCCCAGUGCCUCCA